Molecule: ribosomal RNA, 314 nt
Filed under: uncultured bacterium
Lineage: Bacteria
Description: partial 16S ribosomal RNA
Rfam family: Bacterial small subunit ribosomal RNA
Source: RNAcentral
UUAUAAGAGACAGCAGUAGCCGCGGUAAUACAGAGGGUGCAAGCGUUAAUCGGAUUUACUGGGCGUAAAGGGCGCGUAGGUGGUUAUGUAAGUGAGAUGUGAAAUCCCCGGGCUCAACCUGGGAACUGCAUCUUAUACUGCGUAGCUGGAGUGCAGUAGAGGGUAGUGGAAUUUCCGGUGUAGCGGUGAAAUGCGUAGAUAUCGGAAGGAACACCAGUGGCGAAGGCGGCUACCUGGACUGACACUGACACUGAGGCGCGAAAGCGUGGGGAGCAAACAGGAUUAGAUACCCCAGUAGUCCCUGUCUCUUAUAC